AAAAUCCGUCGACUUUUAAAAUCAUGAGGGUUCAAGUCCCUCUAUCCCC
This 49-nucleotide transfer RNA is filed under the name Coriaria ruscifolia. RNAcentral describes it as "partial tRNA-Leu". Lineage: Eukaryota; Viridiplantae; Streptophyta; Magnoliopsida; Cucurbitales; Coriariaceae. RNAcentral also lists the same sequence under 1 other name. The record is from RNAcentral.